GCUUCGCUGGCGCAGUUGGUAGCGCAUUCGCUUCACAUUCAUGUUCGCGAGAGGUCGUCGGUUCGAGCCCGGCGUGGAGCA
Transfer RNA from Sphaerobolus stellatus SS14, 81 nucleotides. It matches the Rfam family "tRNA". Rfam says of the family: Transfer RNA (tRNA) molecules are approximately 80 nucleotides in length. Their secondary structure includes four short double-helical elements and three loops (D, anti-codon, and T loops). Further hydrogen bonds mediate the characteristic L-shaped molecular structure. tRNAs have two regions of fundamental functional importance: the anti-codon, which is responsible for specific mRNA codon recognition, and the 3' end, to which the tRNAs corresponding amino acid is attached (by aminoacyl-tRNA synthetases). tRNAs cope with the degeneracy of the genetic code in two manners: having more than one tRNA (with a specific anti-codon) for a particular amino acid; and 'wobble' base-pairing, i.e. permitting non-standard base-pairing at the 3rd anti-codon position. The record is from Rfam. Lineage: Eukaryota; Fungi; Basidiomycota; Agaricomycetes; Geastrales; Sphaerobolaceae.